UAAAACUACAUUGAUAUGCCGCAGAAUAUGGACUAGAAUAACCAGAAGAAGAAACUGGAAGAAACGUUUUGUGGUCAUUUUAUUGACAAAACUCUGUUAUUUUCAAUAUUUUUCAAGAACUAGUUUUCAUCUAUGGUUGAUUUUUCGAUUCCUGUGUAACCGGACCCGGGAGAACUUUGUUUUUGAUAUUACAUUUAUUUGUUUUUUGAUGCGAAUCUCCGGUUGUUUUUUUUGUGUUGAGAGACAUCGUGUGAAGAACGGCGAGCCAGGAUCCAAAAGAGCAGAUUGACAUUGUGUCCACUACGACGUCAAAGAAGAACCUUCUUCUGUUCCACUUGAUCGGUGGGAUUGCACAUAUUAACACUACCCGGGUAGCUACCAUAUAACAUUCAGAUCUGAAAACUGAAUUGAAC
Long non-coding RNA from Poecilia latipinna (sailfin molly), 413 nucleotides. RefSeq lists it as uncharacterized. The record is from RefSeq and is a predicted model, not a curated record. NCBI's taxonomy places the organism in Eukaryota, Metazoa, Chordata, Actinopteri, Cyprinodontiformes, Poeciliidae. The transcript has 2 exons.